Paramisgurnus dabryanus is the source of this 1026-nucleotide long non-coding RNA. RefSeq lists it as uncharacterized. The record is from RefSeq and is a predicted model, not a curated record. Lineage: Eukaryota; Metazoa; Chordata; Actinopteri; Cypriniformes; Cobitidae.
CACCUUAUUUUUCACGACAACAAGGGCGGCGCCAUUGCGCUCAUUUUGUCAACGUUCUUCCGGCCGCAUAGACGAUGAGCAGCUGAGGCAGUGACUGAAGGCGACGUGUUAAGCUUAAAAAGCUCACUCGAGCGCCUUUAUGUUUCUUUCUUACCAAUUUUAAGCCAACUGAGGAACACCCUUAUCCCAAGUAAUGGUUCGACUACGAUGUUCCGGUAACUUUAAACCACGCCUGGUGUUGGAAAGGUGGCCAGUUUCAGAUGCAUUGAUGUGUAGUGAUGCAAUGGACAACUGUGAGGAUGAUACAAUCAACAUGUUCCUAAACUGUGAUGCAGAAACACAAUGGGAGCAUCUAUCCGUCUCUGAACACAACUACAAAAUCACAACUCAACCUGAAGCAACAUACAUCUGAUAUGGGAAAACAAUGGUGCGGUUUCCCGGACAGGGCUUAUCCUGGUCCCAGGCUAAAAUGCAUAUUUGAGCUACAAUAAUUUAAAAACACCUUUUACUGACAUACCUCAACAUAUAUGAGUGCCAUUGUUUUGUCACAAGAUGCGCACCAGUCUUGUUUUUUUGUAGGAUUUGUUUGUAAAAACUAAAAUGUCCUAAUAUAAUUAAGGCCUAGUCCUGUAAACCCUGUCCGAGAAACUGCUUCAAUGUGUUGAGCUGGCACAAAUGUACAUAACUCUACUGAGAAACAACCAUCUUUGGUUCAGCUUUACACAGGGUUGAUAUUGCAUCCAUUACACAGUCGCCAAGCACUUUACCAGUACAUACACCAACAGCUUCCAGAUAUACGCUUGGGAUCAGCUCCUGAUGAAUCCGAUAAAGCUGUGUCUUAAUUUAUUGCAGGGUGGUCUUGCUUUACCUGUUGUAAAGUUACAUUAAACCUUCAUAUGUGAUCAGAUGUCAUGCAGUGAUAUUAAACAUUUACAGUGUGAUCAGAUGUUGUGCAUUUAUAUUAAAUCUUUACAAUGUGAUCAGCUGUUACCUGUCAUGCAGUUAUAUUAAACAUUUACUAUGUGA